RNAcentral lists this ribosomal RNA (1404 nucleotides) under uncultured bacterium. RNAcentral's name for it is "bacterial SSU rRNA". It matches the Rfam family "Bacterial small subunit ribosomal RNA". The record is from RNAcentral.
AGAGUUUGAUUCCUGGCUCAGGAUGAACGCUAGCGACAGGCUUAACACAUGCAAGUCGAGGGGCAGCGGGGGCGUAGCAAUAUGCCUGCCGGCGACCGGCGCACGGGUGAGUAACACGUAUGUAACCUGCCCUAUGCAGGGGGAUAACCCGGAGAAAUCCGGCCUAAUACCGCGUAACACCUUAGGGGAGCAUUCUCUUGAGGUUAAAGGAGAGAUCCGGCAUAGGAUGGACAUGCGUCGCAUUAGGUAGACGGCGGGGUAACGGCCCACCGUGCCGACGAUGCGUAGGGGUUCUGAGAGGAAGGCCCCCCACACUGGUACUGAGACACGGACCAGACUCCUACGGGAGGCAGCAGUGAGGAAUAUUGGUCGAUGGCCGAGAGGCUGAACCAGCCAAGUCGCGUGAGGGAAGAAUGUCCUAAGGAUUGUAAACCUCUUUUGUCGGGGAGCAAAAAGGCUCUGCGGAGUCGUAUUGAGAGUACCCGAAGAAAAAGCAUCGGCUAACUCCGUGCCAGCAGCCGCGGUAAUACGGAGGAUGCGAGCGUUAUCCGGAUUUAUUGGGUUUAAAGGGUGCGCAGGCGGCGUGUCAAGCAAGCGGUAAAAUAGCGGGGCUCAACCCCGUCGAGCCGUUUGAACUGGCGCGCUUGAGUUCAGGCGAGGUAGGCGGAAUUCGUGGUGUAGCGGUGAAAUGCAUAGAUAUCACGAAGAACUCCGAUUGCGAAGGCAGCUUACCAGUCUGCGACUGACGCUCAGGCACGAAAGUGUGGGUAUCGAACAGGAUUAGAUACCCUGGUAGUCCACACAGUAAACGAUGAGCGCUAGGUGUCCGGGUCGCAUGAGACUUGGGUGCCCGAGCGAAAGCGUUAAGCGCUCCACCUGGGGAGUACGCCGGCAACGGUGAAACUCAAAGGAAUUGACGGGGGCCCGCACAAGCGGAGGAACAUGUGGUUUAAUUCGAUGAUACGCGAGGAACCUUACCCGGGCUCAAACGACUCAGGAAUAUAUUGGAAACGAUGUAGCCAGCAAUGGUCUGAGUCGAGGUGCUGCAUGGUUGUCGUCAGCUCGUGCCGUGAGGUGUCGGCUUAAGUGCCAUAACGAGCGCAACCCCUACCGCCAGUUGCCAACGGGUAAAGCCGGGAACUCUGGCGGGACUGCCGGCGCAAGCUGCGAGGAAGGCGGGGAUGACGUCAAAUCAGCACGGCCCUUACGUCCGGGGCGACACACGUGUUACAAUGGCAGGUACAGCGGGAAGCCACCUGGUGACAGGGAGCGGAACCCGAAAGCCUGUCUCAGUUCGGAUUGGAGUCUGCAACUCGACUCCAUGAAGCUGGAUUCGCUAGUAAUCGCGCAUCAGCCAUGGCGCGGUGAAUACGUUCCCGGGCCUUGCACACACCGCCCGUCAAG